RNAcentral lists this ribosomal RNA (301 nucleotides) under uncultured bacterium. RNAcentral describes it as "partial 16S ribosomal RNA". It matches the Rfam family "Bacterial small subunit ribosomal RNA", at positions 509 to 807 of the family's 1533-position model. The record is from RNAcentral.
CAGUCGCCGCGGUAAUACGUAGGGCGCAAGCGUUAUCCGGAAUUAUUGGGCGUAAAGAGCUCGUAGGCGGUUUGUCGCGUCUGCCGUGAAGGUCCGGGGCUCAACCCCGGAUCUGCGGUGGGUACGGGCAGACUAGAGUGAUGUAGGGGAGACUGGAAUUCCUGGUGUAGCGGUGAAAUGCGCAGAUAUCAGGAGGAACACCGAUGGCGAAGGCAGGUCUCUGGGCAUUAACUGACGCUGAGGAGCGAAAGCAUGGGGAGCGAACAGGAUUAGAUACCCGGGUAGUCCCUGUCUCUUAUAC